This 482-nucleotide ribosomal RNA is filed under the name uncultured bacterium. Its description in RNAcentral is "partial 16S ribosomal RNA". It matches the Rfam family "Bacterial small subunit ribosomal RNA", at positions 30 to 507 of the family's 1533-position model. The record is from RNAcentral.
AUUGAACGCUGGCGGCAUGCCUUACACAUGCAAGUCGAACGGUAACGGGCCUUCGGGUGCCGACGAGUGGCGAACGGGUGAGUAAUACAUCGGAACGAGCCCGAUCGUGGGGGAUAACGAGGCGAAAGCUUUGCUAAUACCGCAUACGAUCUACGGAUGAAAGCAGGGGACCGCAAGGCCUUGCGCGGACGGAGCGGCCGAUGGCAGAUUAGGUAGUUGGUGGGAUAAAAGCUUACCAAGCCGACGAUCUGUAGCUGGUCUGAGAGGAUGAUCAGCCACACUGGGACUGAGACACGGCCCAGACUCCUACGGGAGGCAGCAGUGGGGAAUUUUGGACAAUGGGCGCAAGCCUGAUCCAGCCAUGCCGCGUGCAGGAUGAAGGCCUUCGGGUUGUAAACUGCUUUUGUACGGAACGAAAAGCCUUCUUUUAAUACAGGAGGGUCAUGACGGUACCGUAAGAAUAAGCACCGGCUAACUACGUG